UACGGGGGGGGGCAAGCGUUGUUCGGAAUUACUGGGCGUAAAGGGCUCGUAGGUGGCCAACUAAGUCGGACGUGAAAUCCCUCGGCUUAACCGGGGAACUGCGUCUGAUACUGGAUGGCUUGAGUUCGGGAGAGGGAUGCGGAAUUCCAGGUGUAGCGGUGAAAUGCGUAGAUAUGUGGAGGAACACCGAUGGCGAAGGCAGCCCCCUGGGUCAAAACUGACGCUCAUGCACGAAAGCGUGGGGAGCAAACAGG
RNAcentral lists this ribosomal RNA (254 nucleotides) under uncultured bacterium. RNAcentral's name for it is "partial 16S ribosomal RNA". It matches the Rfam family "Bacterial small subunit ribosomal RNA", at positions 524 to 776 of the family's 1533-position model. The record is from RNAcentral.